CACGCAACUACUAAGUCCGGACCUGCAGCAACGUGAAUUGUACAGUAACAGGGCUGUAAGAGAGGUUUGAAUAAGCAACGUCAUUGAACUGAAGCACCAUCCUCCUCAUGGAGAUAAGAGACCAAUAAAGUCACACAGGAGGGAGCAUGGGGAUUGUGAAUCCACCGAAGAGACAUCAGCAGUAGAAUACCCACAGCCUUGUCUACGAUCCUGCCAUAUGAACCAGUAGAGGGAGUCCAAGGCUUGAAGCCUUCUGGCUGCAUCGUCCGCUGUGAUGAUGAUACGUGCGCACAACAGUCCCCUUCAAUCCCAGCGCAGGCCUGUCGCUCUGACCUUGCUGUGUCGAAGCAUCGUCUGUAAUUUGAAGCGUGGUGGUUAGACGGACUGAUGCGCUGGAUCUGGACGGACCUGAAGUCAGGUGGUGCAUAAUGGCUCGUCUCCUGCAUCUCAACGCGGCGCCGGCGACGACUGCAGAGGAAAACGGGCCUCCUCCAUUGAUUGUUUGUCUUGGAUUUGACAGUUGCCCUUUGACAGCGAUAUUCCAGUGAAACUGUCAUUCACCUCACUUCUACCGGGGUUAACAAGAUCGUUGUGUUUGUUAAACGCGCGACUCAGCAGUCUUUGGAAAAAGUCCUCUCCGCAACGAUGACAAGGCUGUUUUGCACUUCCUGUGUUCCACAGGGUCGAGCGAGUCCAGAUCCAAUCAGAAACCGCACCAAUUAGACGCCUGGACUGGCACUUAAUUACCACUCUGAAGAGACUGAUGGGCCAUUAAUUAGCAGGACAUUAACAGGACUGAUGCUGUUCAUCACAGCAGCGCAUAUUAGAGCAGAUAAGACCCGAAUGUAAUGGACUCCGCUGCUAUCGGCGGCGGCGCUGGGUGACCUGCUACGACAGUCAAGGCUGAGAUGAUAAUUCAGAGAGCGGCCACCGAAGGGAAAUAGAAGGAGGUUGUUCAUGUGGCUGAGGUCUGAAUCAGGGCAGUCCUGGUAAAUACAUGGGGAAACGGACCCGCGGGGUGUUGAAGGUUACUAAUCACCUCAGCCAGCAAGGUGGUAAACACAUGCAUCUGUGUCUGCGUGGGAGGCGAGCAGGUACGUUCCAGAGCCCUGCAAAGUGCAGAUCACCCACAUGGCUGCUGGUUGCUCGGCUCUCUGCAGCUCUCACGCCUUGAUUUUCUUUCACAGAGACAAAGAGAUUGUGUUCAUUGGAUCUUAUUAAAGUCCGGUUGAAGAAAAGGUGUGAUGCCAAUGGAUAUCAGCAAAUUAAAGCACAAAAUAGUUGUUAGUUGUUAGUAGUUGCUAAAUUAAAUCAAAAUGAAGAAAAAAUUGUUCUUUCAAAUAUUUUUAUCCUUUGAGAUAUUUUUUUCUGAAGGUUCUCAUACCGUCUGACAGGUUCAAUUUUCAAACCAAUCACAGAACUGAAAGUUUCUGCUUGUUGAAGCAUUUUACUGAUUGUAAUUUGAUAUUAGCGUUAAUACCUGCAGCGGAGGAAAAAGCAGGCAGAGGGAAAGCUGUGCAGCUCCUAUGUCAGCACUAACGAGAAGAAAAAAAACUAAUACAUAUAUAUACACACUCUAUUCUCACCCUCCGCGGGUGGUCUCAUCCACUUUCCAAGCUCGGGUCCUCUACCAGA
Molecule: long non-coding RNA, 1635 nt
Organism: Betta splendens (Siamese fighting fish)
Lineage: Eukaryota; Metazoa; Chordata; Actinopteri; Anabantiformes; Osphronemidae
Exons: 4
Source: RefSeq, a predicted model, not a curated record